Molecule: ribosomal RNA, 367 nt
Filed under: Betaproteobacteria bacterium
Lineage: Bacteria; Pseudomonadati; Pseudomonadota; Betaproteobacteria
Description: partial 23S ribosomal RNA
Rfam family: Bacterial large subunit ribosomal RNA
Source: RNAcentral
UCCCAAGGGUAUGGCUGUUCGCCAUUUAAAGUGGUACGUGAGCUGGGUUCAAAACGUCGUGAGACAGUUUGGUCCCUAUCUGCCGUGGGCGUUGGAAAUUUGACGGGGGCUGCUCCUAGUACGAGAGGACCGGAGUGGACGCACCGCUGGUGUACCUGUUGUCUCGCCAGAGGCAUCGCAGGGUAGCUAAGUGCGGAAGAGAUAACCGCUGAAAGCAUCUAAGCGGGAAACUCGCCUGAAGAUUAGAUUUCCCGGGGGUUUAACCCCCUUGAAGGGUCGUUCGAGACCAGGACGUUGAUAGGUCGGGUGUGGAAGCGUGGUAACACGUUAAGCUAACCGAUACUAAUUGCCCGUAAGGCUUGACUCU